Molecule: transfer RNA, 74 nt
Filed under: Chitinophagales bacterium
Lineage: Bacteria; Pseudomonadati; Bacteroidota; Chitinophagia; Chitinophagales
Description: tRNA-Arg
Rfam family: tRNA
About the family: Transfer RNA (tRNA) molecules are approximately 80 nucleotides in length. Their secondary structure includes four short double-helical elements and three loops (D, anti-codon, and T loops).
Source: RNAcentral
GGCUCCGUAGCAUAACUGGAUAGUGCACCUGACUACGGAUCAGGAGGUUAGGAGUUCGAAUCUCUUCGGAGUCA